UUAUUGUAGUUGUUCUUACAUGCGUGAGGUUUGAUAUCAUUGAUAAUUCCUCCGCUGAUGAUCUGUCUUUAGCUAAAUAUGGCGUCACCCCCA
This is a long non-coding RNA of Ipomoea nil (Japanese morning glory), 93 nucleotides long. RefSeq lists it as uncharacterized. The transcript is spliced from 3 exons. NCBI's taxonomy places the organism in Eukaryota, Viridiplantae, Streptophyta, Magnoliopsida, Solanales, Convolvulaceae. The record is from RefSeq and is a predicted model, not a curated record.